This 1194-nucleotide ribosomal RNA is filed under the name uncultured Gammaproteobacteria bacterium. RNAcentral's name for it is "bacterial SSU rRNA". It matches the Rfam family "Bacterial small subunit ribosomal RNA", at positions 104 to 1294 of the family's 1533-position model. The record is from RNAcentral. Lineage: Bacteria; Pseudomonadati; Pseudomonadota; Gammaproteobacteria.
GGGUGAGUAAUACAUCGGAACGUGCCCUGUAGUGGGGGAUAACUAGUCGAAAGAUUAGCUAAUACCGCAUACAACCUGAGGGUGAAAGUGGGGGACCGCAAGGCCUCAUGCUAUAGGAGCGGCCGAUGUCUGAUUAGCUAGUUGGUGAGGUAAAGGCUCACCAAGGCGACGAUCAGUAGCUGGUCUGAGAGGACGAUCAGCCACACUGGGACUGAGACACGGCCCAGACUCCUACGGGAGGCAGCAGUGGGGAAUUUUGGACAAUGGGGGCAACCCUGAUCCAGCAAUGCCGCGUGUGUGAAGAAGGCCUUCGGGUUGUAAAGCACUUUUGUCCGGAAAGAAAUCGCACUUACUAAUAUUAGGUGUGGAUGACGGUACCGGAAGAAUAAGGACCGGCUAACUACGUGCCAGCAGCCGCGGUAAUACGUAGGGUCCAAGCGUUAAUCGGAAUUACUGGGCGUAAAGCGUGCGCAGGCGGUUGUGCAAGACCGAUGUGAAAUCCCCGGGCUUAACCUGGGAAUUGCAUUGGUGACUACACGGCUAGAGUGUGUCAGAGGGGGGUAGAAUUCCACGUGUAGCAGUGAAAUGCGUAGAGAUGUGGAGGAAUACCGAUGGCGAAGGCAGCCCCCUGGGAUAACACUGACGCUCAUGCACGAAAGCGUGGGGAGCAAACAGGAUUAGAUACCCUGGUAGUCCACGCCGUAAACGAUGUCUACUAGCUGUUCGUGGUCUUGUACUGUAAGUAGCGCAGCUAACGCACUAAGUAGACCGCCUGGGGAGUACGGUCGCAAGAUUAAAACUCAAAUGAAUUGACGGGGGCCCGCACAAGCGGUGGAGCAUGUGGUUUAAUUCGACGCAACGCGAAGAACCCUACCUACUCUUGACAUCUCCAGAAGACUGCAGAGAUGCGGUUGUGCCUUCGGGAACUGUAAGACAGGUGCUGCAUGGCUGUCGUCAGCUCGUGUUGUGAAAUGUUGGGUUAAGUCCCGCAACGAGCGCAACCCUUAUCCUUAGUUGCCAGCGCGUAAUGGCGGGAACUCUAGGGAGACUGCCGGUGAUAAACCGGAGGAAGGUGGGGACGACGUCAAGUCGUCAUGGCCCUUACAAGUAGGGCUACACACGUGCUACAAUGGUAUGUACAGAGGGAGGCAAGCUGGCGUCAGUGAGCGGAUCUCUUAAAGCAUAUCGUAGUCC